AGAGUAAUUGCUGGAUCAUAUGGUAAGACUUUGCUUCAUUUUGUAAGAACUUGCCAAACUGUCUUCCAAAGUUGUUGUACCAUUUUGCAUUCCCACCAGAAAU
This 103-nucleotide microRNA precursor is filed under the name Marmota monax (woodchuck). The record is from RNAcentral. Lineage: Eukaryota; Metazoa; Chordata; Mammalia; Rodentia; Sciuridae.